GGAAUCCAUUGGUAAAUCCACCUCUUGAGCCAGUGCUUCAGAUGGCAGUCUGUGGAAGCAUGUUUUCUUUCCUAGGACUUUGCCCUGAAGCUUGGAAUUGAGUUUGGGACAAAAAUGUGUCUCUGGGUGGUUGCAUCGAUUCCUUAUCAUCAGCUGCAUGCUAAUGUGAAUCUGUGGAAUUGAGUCCUCCUCCAACAAGGGAGAGAAAAUGAUGUGUUGUGACAUACCCAGGAGCCAUGUAUUCAGCAGAGCGCUGUUGUUAAUCAUGGCAGGAGAUCACUCCCACAGCUUUGUUUCUUCUGCUGAGAAUCACAUCUCUU
RNAcentral lists this long non-coding RNA (320 nucleotides) under Callithrix jacchus (white-tufted-ear marmoset). RNAcentral describes it as "lncRNA (ENSCJAG00000085030.1)". The record is from RNAcentral. Lineage: Eukaryota; Metazoa; Chordata; Mammalia; Primates; Cebidae.